AUUUUAUAAAUUAUAAUUUUUAUUCGUUAAUAAUAUUUUUCAAAGUUUGUAUAUGCUUCAAAAUAGUUGAAAUUUUUGAAUAACAUCGAGUUGUGGCAUAUUGAAGAAUACAUUUAUUGUCGUUUAAUCGAUUAACCGUAACAGAAUAAUAGGAUGUUUUGUAUUGGGCAAAACUGAGUUAUUUAAAGCAACUAUGAUUUUUGGUAUCAUCCGUCGCCACAGUUAUUAGAAAAUAUAUCAUCAUUGUUGAGUAAAUUGACAACCCAUAGGCUGGCUUAUUAUGAAGAAAAUAUUCGAAUAUAUUCUCUAUAAUUAAAAAACUAAUUAUUAAAUGCCAACGUAGAACAAAAAUUAUUUUAUAAAUAAAUCUUUUGAAACCUUAUGUCUUUUGUAGCAUGUCGUUUAUUAUGAUAAAAAAUUGUGACUGUUAACUGAUUGUAAUCGUGAGCCAUAAAUUUACCACUUGGUAAGAUUAAUUUAAUAUAUAUAUAUACUCAACAUAUGUAUAUAAACCUUA
Molecule: long non-coding RNA, 517 nt
Filed under: Polistes fuscatus (common paper wasp)
Lineage: Eukaryota; Metazoa; Arthropoda; Insecta; Hymenoptera; Vespidae
Description: uncharacterized LOC122522534
Source: RNAcentral